RNAcentral lists this ribosomal RNA (301 nucleotides) under uncultured bacterium. RNAcentral describes it as "partial 16S ribosomal RNA". It matches the Rfam family "Bacterial small subunit ribosomal RNA", at positions 509 to 807 of the family's 1533-position model. The record is from RNAcentral.
CAGCCGCCACGGUAAUACGGAGGGUGCAAGCGUUAAUCGGAAUUACUGGGCGUAAAGCGCACGCAGGCGGUUUGUUAGGUCAGAUGUGAAAUCCCCGAGCUUAACUUGGGAACUGCAUUUGAAACUGGCAAGCUAGAGUCUUGUAGAGGGGGGUAGAAUUCCAGGUGUAGCGGUGAAAUGCGUAGAGAUCUGGAGGAAUACCGGUGGCGAAGGCGGCCCCCUGGACAAAGACUGACGCUCAGGUGCGAAAGCGUGGGGAGCAAACAGGAUUAGAUACCCCUGUAGUCCCUGUCUCUUAUAC